This 1521-nucleotide unclassified non-coding RNA is filed under the name Hevea brasiliensis (rubber tree). The record is from RNAcentral. Lineage: Eukaryota; Viridiplantae; Streptophyta; Magnoliopsida; Malpighiales; Euphorbiaceae.
AAAUUUUCCAUUACUUGAGCUUGUAAAACUCCAUGAAUAAAAACAAAUGAAGGAAACCCAUUUGAGGGAGGAAAUUAAGGGUGAGUUUGCAAAGCCUCAAUGGGUUCUCCAAGAUUGCUGUUUCUCUUUUCUUAUGUUGUUCUACAACUAGUUUCCCCAACCAUUUCUCAGCCUGAUUUUAUGCACCAGUUCUGUUACAACGACAGAGGUAACUACACAGAAAACAGCACCUAUCAGAGAAACGUCGACAGCGUCCUUUCUUCCCUUGCCUCCAACACUGAAAUUGACUACGGAUUUUACAAUCUUUCCAUUGGCCAAGCCCCCAACCAAGUAAAUGCUAUUGCACUUUGUAGAGGAGAUGUUGGGUUGGAUGACUGCAGAGGUUGCAUCAGUAACUCUACUCGCAAAAUCUUACAGGUUUGUCCUAACCAGAAGGAUGCAGUUGGAGUGUAUGAUUUCUGUACACUGCGAUACUCCAACAGAUCAAUAUUUGGUGCGUUAGAAGGAAUACCCACUUUCUAUGUAUGGAACUUGAACAACGCCUCGGAUGUGAACCAGUACACUCAAGCACUGCAAACUUUGUUGGGUAGACUUCGAAGCACGACUGCAUCAGGGGAUUCGAUUCGAAAGUUCGAGACAGGAGAAGAAAGUGCAGGAUUUGAAAGGGUAUUUGCACUUACCCAAUGCACUCCUGACUUAUCUACUCAGCAGUGCGAUGAGUGCUUGGCUGGGGCUAUUCAGGAAAUUCCAAAUUGUUGUGCGGGGAGGAUAGGAGCCAGCAUUAUAAAACCCAGCUGUGAAGUCAGGUUUGACAACAGGCUCUUUUAUGUACUUGCAUCCAACGCCCCACCUCCAUCACCGCCAAUAUCUCCUCCUCCUCCACUUAUAAAAGGAAAGAAGAGCAACAAAGCACGAACGAUCAUUAUAAUAGUAGUUCCAAUUGUUAGCGUUGCGAUAUUAGUCAUCUGCUUUUGUGUUUUCUUGAGGAUGCGAAAGCCAAAGGAAAAAGUUGAAACCGUAGAUGAAAUAGAAAGUGCAGAUUCUUUGCAAUUAGAUUUUGGAACUGUUAGAGUUGCAACAAAUAACUUUUCAGAGGAAAAUAAGCUUGGACAAGGUGGAUUUGGUGCUGUUUACAAGGGUACACUAUAUAAUGGACAAAAAAUAGCUGUCAAAAGGCUUUCUAAGGAUUCAGGACAAGGAGAUCUAGAAUUUAAAAAUGAAGUCUUAUUGGUGGCCAAACUUCAACAUCGAAAUUUAGUUAGGCUUCUUGGUUUUUGCUUGGAAGGCUAUGAAAGGCUUCUUAUCUAUGAGUUUGUGCCUAACACUAGCCUUGAUCAUUUCAUAUUUGAUGAAAUCAGGGGUGCCCAAUUAAAUUGGGAAAUGCGUUAUAAAAUCAUAAAUGGUAUUGCUCGAGGGAUUUUUUACCUUCAUGAAGAUUCUCGCCUUAAGGUCAUUCAUCGCGAUUUGAAAGCAAGUAAUGUCUUGUUAGAUGAAGAGAUGAACCCUAAAAUUUCAGAUUUU